Molecule: ribosomal RNA, 348 nt
Filed under: uncultured bacterium
Lineage: Bacteria
Description: bacterial SSU rRNA
Rfam family: Bacterial small subunit ribosomal RNA
Source: RNAcentral
AGAGUUUGAUCCUGGCUCAGGAUGAACGCUAGCUACAGGCUUAACACAUGCAAGUCGAGGGGCAGCAUGUUGGUUGCUUGCAACCAAUGAUGGCGACCGGCGCACGGGUGAGUAACGCGUAUCCAACCUACCCUUGUCCAUCGGAUAACCCGUCGAAAGGCGGCCUAACACGAUAUGCGGUUCUCAGCAGGCAUCUAACGAGAACGAAAUGUGAAGGAGAAGGAUGGGGAUGCGUCUGAUUAGCUUGUUGGCGGGGUAACGCCACAAGGCGACGAUCAGUAGGGGUUCUGGAGACGGAAGGUCCCCCAGAUUGGAACUGAGACACGGUCCAAACGUCCUACGGGAGCA